UUUUAUUGUUCUGUACCUUUUUCUGAAUUGUUUUGUGUAUAAACAUAUUAAUCCCGAUAUUGAUGGUAUAUUCUUUUGUUAGUAGGAAACAAUUUAAACUGUUUGGUAGUUUAAGGUAUCAAAGAAGGACUUAUUGGAGACAACUAACAAAAUAUCCAACUGUUGAUGAACGAACAGAACUAUCUAGAGAUGUUUUACAGAAAGCAAUAUUAAACAUUGAAAAGCAGUUGCAGAAAAUGAAUGCGGACAGAAAGAUUA
Long non-coding RNA from Limulus polyphemus (Atlantic horseshoe crab), 258 nucleotides. RefSeq lists it as uncharacterized. Lineage: Eukaryota; Metazoa; Arthropoda; Merostomata; Xiphosura; Limulidae. The transcript is spliced from 2 exons. The record is from RefSeq and is a predicted model, not a curated record.